AACUGUUUGGGUGGGUGGAUGAUGUUCAGUACCAAGGACAGGUAUGUUUAUGUGUGUGUGGAUGGUGUUCAGUACCAAGGACAGGUAUGUUUAUGU
Molecule: non-coding RNA, 96 nt
Organism: Branchiostoma floridae (Florida lancelet)
Lineage: Eukaryota; Metazoa; Chordata; Leptocardii; Amphioxiformes; Branchiostomatidae
Source: Rfam